RNAcentral lists this ribosomal RNA (534 nucleotides) under uncultured bacterium. RNAcentral's name for it is "partial 16S ribosomal RNA". It matches the Rfam family "Bacterial small subunit ribosomal RNA", at positions 355 to 907 of the family's 1533-position model. The record is from RNAcentral.
UGGGGAAUAUUGGACAAUGGGCGCAAGCCUGAUCCAGCCAUGCCGCGUGAGUGAUGAAGGCCUUAGGGUUGUAAAGCUCUUUCGCCGGUGAAGAUAAUGACGGUAACCGGAGAAGAAGCCCCGGCUAACUUCGUGCCAGCAGCCGCGGUAAUACGAAGGGGGCUAGCGUUGCUCGGAAUCACUGGGCGUAAAGCGCACGUAGGCGGAUCGUUAAGUCAGGGGUGAAAUCCUGGAGCUCAACUCCAGAACUGCCCUUGAUACUGGCGAUCUCGAGUUCGAGAGAGGUUGGUGGAACUCCGAGUGUAGAGGUGAAAUUCGUAGAUAUCGGAAGAACACCAGUGGCGAAGGCGGCCAACUGGCUCGAUACUGACGCUGAGGUGCGAAAGCGUGGGGAGCAAAACAGGAUUAGAUACCCUGGUAGUCCACGCCGUAAACGAUGGAUGCUAGCCGUUGGGGGGUUUACCUCUCAGUGGCGCAGCUAACGCCUUAAGCAUCCCGCCUGGGGAGUACGGUCGCAAGAUUAAAACUCAAAGG